Saccostrea cuccullata (small rock oyster) is the source of this 325-nucleotide long non-coding RNA. RefSeq lists it as uncharacterized. NCBI's taxonomy places the organism in Eukaryota, Metazoa, Mollusca, Bivalvia, Ostreida, Ostreidae. The transcript has 3 exons. The record is from RefSeq and is a predicted model, not a curated record.
UUGUGUAUGGCACCUCUGCAAAUCAUAUCAAAAGAACAUGCGAUACCUUGAGGUCUUAAAGGGAGGUUGUGCAUGGAACAAUAAAUGUAUACCUGAAAACAGUAUUUGGACAGAGAAUAAAGGCAGCAUGUGUAUCCAGUACACAUGUACAAAACAAAGGAGCGGAUCUUAUCCGGAGUACUCUGUUAAAAAGCUACACCAAGGUUGUGUAGACGGCAAGAAGUGUAGAGGACUUGGAUUCAGCAAGAGACGAGGUUGUUAUGAAUUACAAUGCCGAUUACACCCUCAAGUUCAAAGGCCUUAUUACAAGCUUGUCCGUGCAGGU